GUUUUCUUUCUCCUUCUCUUGGACCCAGGGCUGCUUUUAUCCUGUAGAUACCAGUUUCCCACAAAUUAUCUUCUGUGCUGGCAAUGCGUAAAUCUCGCAGAAGUAGAGGAGCUGGAGGAUGGAGACUUGGAACUGGAGGCUGAACCACACCUGCAAUUUCAGAAAGAACAAUUCCAUUAUGUGAAUGUUCAGCCUACCCUUCCAGAAGUUCACAGAGGAUGACAGGAGACAUGUCAAGAAUAAUGAAGAAAAAUAGAGCAGCCCAUCGAGCCGUCAGA
Sphaerodactylus townsendi is the source of this 278-nucleotide long non-coding RNA. RefSeq lists it as uncharacterized. The transcript has 3 exons. The record is from RefSeq and is a predicted model, not a curated record. Lineage: Eukaryota; Metazoa; Chordata; Lepidosauria; Squamata; Sphaerodactylidae.